Molecule: ribosomal RNA, 200 nt
Filed under: uncultured bacterium
Lineage: Bacteria
Description: partial 16S ribosomal RNA
Rfam family: Bacterial small subunit ribosomal RNA
Source: RNAcentral
AGAGUUUGAUCCUGGCUCAGGAUAAACGCUGGCGGCGUGCCUAACACAUGCAAGUCGAACGCUCUUGGGAAACCGAGAGAGUGGCGGACGGGUGAGGAACACGUGGAUACCUACCUUGGAGUGAGGAAUACCGGCGAGAAAUCGCCGACAAUACCGCAUACGCUUCGCAAGAAGGAAAGUCCGCAAGGACGCUCGAAGAU